Molecule: transfer RNA, 73 nt
Filed under: Stegodyphus mimosarum
Lineage: Eukaryota; Metazoa; Arthropoda; Arachnida; Araneae; Eresidae
Rfam family: tRNA
About the family: Transfer RNA (tRNA) molecules are approximately 80 nucleotides in length. Their secondary structure includes four short double-helical elements and three loops (D, anti-codon, and T loops).
Source: Rfam by way of RNAcentral
GCUUUAGCGGUAUAAUGGUCAGCACACUCGACGCGUAUUCGAGAAGUCCUAGGUUCGAGUCCCAGCGAGAGCA